Molecule: transfer RNA, 71 nt
Filed under: Chrysiptera biocellata (twinspot damselfish)
Lineage: Eukaryota; Metazoa; Chordata; Actinopteri; Pomacentridae
Description: tRNA-Lys
Source: RNAcentral
CGCUAAGAAGCUAAACUGGGCAUAGCGUAGCCUUUUAGUGAAAAAGUGGGUCGGCCCACCACCCUUAGCGG